GUCUAAGGCCAUACCACCCUGAAUGCGCCCGAUCUCAUCUGGUCUCAGAAACUGAGCAGGGUCGGGCCUGGUUAGUACUUGGAUGGGAGAAAUCUUUUUACUUGUUUCAUGUAUGUAAAUGUAGUGGUUUGUGGUA
Ribosomal RNA from Cavia aperea (Brazilian guinea pig), 136 nucleotides. Lineage: Eukaryota; Metazoa; Chordata; Mammalia; Rodentia; Caviidae. The record is from Ensembl.